AUUGAACGCUGGCGGCAGGCUUAACACAUGCAAGUCGAACGGUAACAUAAAGAAGCUUGCUUCUUUGAUGACGAGUGGCGGACGGGUGAGUAAUGCUUGGGAAUCUAGCUUAUGGAGGGGGAUAACUACGGGAAACUGUAGCUAAUACCGCGUAAUGUCGAAAGAUUAAAGUGUGGGACCUUCGGGCAACAUGCCAUAGGAUGAGCCCAAGUGGGAUUAGGUAGUUGGUGAGGUAAAGGCUCACCAAGCCGACGAUCUCUAGCUGGUCUGAGAGGAUGACCAGCCACACUGGGACUGAGACACGGCCCAGACUCCUACGGGAGGCAGCAGUGGGGAAUAUUGCGCAAUGGGGGCAACCCUGACGCAGCCAUGCCGCGUGAAUGAAGAAGGCCUUCGGGUUGUAAAGUUCUUUCGGUAGCGAGGAAGGCAUUUAGUUUAAUAGACUAGGUGAUUGACGUUAACUACAGAAGAAGCACCGGCUAACUCCGUGCCAGCAGCCGCCGCAG
Molecule: ribosomal RNA, 506 nt
Filed under: uncultured bacterium
Lineage: Bacteria
Description: partial 16S ribosomal RNA
Rfam family: Bacterial small subunit ribosomal RNA
Source: RNAcentral